This is a regulatory RNA element of 128 nucleotides. It matches the Rfam family "PyrR binding site". Rfam says of the family: This family represents the PyrR binding site and terminator structure. This RNA structure is found upstream of a variety of genes involved in pyrimidine biosynthesis and transport. The record is from Rfam.
ACGACCUUUAAAACAGUCCCGUGAGGCUGGGAAGGUAACGGAAUAAGCAGUCAGCUGCAUGCAGCUGGUGCUGUAAUCACUCUGAUUAUUCUGCCCUCUCAUCCACACGGUGAGAGGGUUUUAUUGUU